GAACUAGAAGCUUAUAUAGCAUUGGUCUUGUAAACCAAAGAAAGGUUUAACCCUAGUUCU
RNAcentral lists this transfer RNA (60 nucleotides) under Helobdella europaea. RNAcentral describes it as "tRNA-Thr". Lineage: Eukaryota; Metazoa; Annelida; Clitellata; Rhynchobdellida; Glossiphoniidae. The record is from RNAcentral.